RNAcentral lists this ribosomal RNA (814 nucleotides) under Bacillus sp. (in: firmicutes). Its description in RNAcentral is "bacterial SSU rRNA". It matches the Rfam family "Bacterial small subunit ribosomal RNA", at positions 630 to 1449 of the family's 1533-position model. The record is from RNAcentral. Lineage: Bacteria; Bacillati; Bacillota; Bacilli; Caryophanales; Bacillaceae.
AAACUGGGGACUUGAGUGCAGAAGAGGAGAGUGGAAUUCCACGUGUAGCGGUGAAAUGCGUAGAGAUGUGGAGGAACACCAGUGGCGAAGGCGACUCUCUGGUCUGUAACUGACGCUGAGGAGCGAAAGCGUGGGGAGCGAACAGGAUUAGAUACCCUGGUAGUCCACGCCGUAAACGAUGAGUGCUAAGUGUUAGGGGGUUUCCGCCCCUUAGUGCUGCAGCUAACGCAUUAAGCACUCCGCCUGGGGAGUACGGUCGCAAGACUGAAACUCAAAGGAAUUGACGGGGGCCCGCACAAGCGGUGGAGCAUGUGGUUUAAUUCGAAGCAACGCGAAGAACCUUACCAGGUCUUGACAUCCUCUGACAAUCCUAGAGAUAGGACGUCCCCUUCGGGGGCAGAGUGACAGGUGGUGCAUGGUUGUCGUCAGCUCGUGUCGUGAGAUGUUGGGUUAAGUCCCGCAACGAGCGCAACCCUUGAUCUUAGUUGCCAGCAUUCAGUUGGGCACUUAAGGUGACUGCCGGUGACAAACCGGAGGAAGGUGGGGAUGACGUCAAAUCAUCAUGCCCCUUAUGACCUGGGCUACACACGUGCUACAAUGGACAGAACAAAGGGCAGCGAAACCGCGAGGUUAAGCCAAUCCCACAAAUCUGUUCUCAGUUCGGAUCGCAGUCUGCAACUCGACUGCGUGAAGCUGGAAUCCUAGUAAUCGCGGAUCAGCAUGCGCGGUGAAUACGUUCCCGGGCCUUGUACACCCGCCCGUCACACCACGAGAGUUUGUAACACCCGAAGUCGGUGAGGUAACCUUUAGGAGC